AAGUCGUAACAAGGUUUCCGUAGGUGAACCUGCGGAAGGAUCAUUAACACGUUAUUCCAACGUACCACCAACGCGCAUUGUUUUCAACUCUCUCCCGCCGACCUACAUGUAUCGGUUUUAAGUGUACAGAAAUUAUUGGAUGGGACAUAGCUUCGGCUAGUCGUUUCUGCACCGACAGUGCUCACGCACAACGAUAGAAGUAGGCCGCGGCUACCGCUGCGGUGCUGUAAAUCUCCGCCAAGAUUAUGAGCACCGUGGCAAUUUUACUCACAAUUUUCACUCACUUUUGCGAGUUUGACUUUUUAAUCUGUUGGGCUCUCUCUUCAUUGAGAGGCACAGCACGUUUGAUCUAAUUGAACGUUAAAAAAUACAACUCUUAGCAAUGGAUAUCUAGGUUCUC
This 400-nucleotide unclassified non-coding RNA is filed under the name fungal sp. RNAcentral describes it as "partial internal transcribed spacer region". The stretch from base 1 to 46 matches the Rfam family "Eukaryotic small subunit ribosomal RNA", at positions 1786 to 1831 of the family's 1831-position model. Lineage: Eukaryota; Fungi. The record is from RNAcentral.